UUUGUAAAUCAAGAUGAUAUAUUAAAUGAUGAUCUUUGCAGGAAUGAGAGCCAGAAAGAGUCGAAACUUAAGGAAAUAGUUUGCAGCAUCCACCAGAUGAACUGCAAACCACUACAGGAAGUACAGAAACCAGUUGCACCACUUCAGAAUGGAGUACAGACCACCCCUGCGCAAGAAGAGGCAUCUGAAAGCCUCUCAGGCGCGCCCAUUCAGCUUCCCAUGCAAAUUAGCUCUCUUCCGCCUCCCUUUCAGCCAAGUCCUGCGCAAAAGGAAGCUUCUGAAUCCAGUUCUGCGCCAUCUCCUUUGCAGUCAAGUCUUGCACAGAAGGAGACUUCUGAAACCACCUCUGCGCAGACACCUUUGCAACAUCUCUCAGAAUCUGAAGAAUAUAAAAAUGACCACCUUGAACAAAUCUUCCUUGCCC
Molecule: long non-coding RNA, 424 nt
Filed under: Manihot esculenta (cassava)
Lineage: Eukaryota; Viridiplantae; Streptophyta; Magnoliopsida; Malpighiales; Euphorbiaceae
Description: long non-coding RNA (MESC_LNC010108)
Source: RNAcentral